RNAcentral lists this ribosomal RNA (603 nucleotides) under uncultured bacterium. Its description in RNAcentral is "bacterial SSU rRNA". It matches the Rfam family "Bacterial small subunit ribosomal RNA", at positions 924 to 1532 of the family's 1533-position model. The record is from RNAcentral.
CACAAGCAGUGGAGUAUGUGGUUUAAUUCGAAGCAACGCGAAGAACCUUACCAGGGCUUGACAUCCCUUGACGAUCCUAGAGAUAGGAUUUCUCUUCGGAGCAAGGAGACAGGUGGUGCAUGGUUGUCGUCAGCUCGUGUCGUGAGAUGUUGGGUUAAGUCCCGCAACGAGCGCAACCCCUGUUGUUAGUUGCCAUCAUUAAGUUGGGCACUCUAGCGAGACUGCCGGUGACAAAUCGGAGGAAGGUGGGGACGACGUCAAAUCAUCAUGCCCUUUAUGUCCUGGGCUACACACGUACUACAAUGGCCGCUACAGAGGGAAGCGAAGUAGUGAUAUGGAGCAAAACCCUAAAAACGGUCUCAGUUCGGAUUGAAGGCUGAAAUUCGCCUUCAUGAAGCCGGAAUUGCUAGUAAUGGCAGGUCAGCAUACUGCCGUGAAUACGUUCCCGGGCCUUGUACACACCGCCCGUCACACCAUGAGAGUUGGGAAUACCCGAAGCCUGUGAGCUAACUUUUAGAGGCAGCAGUCGAAGGUAGAAUCAAUGAUUGGGGUGAAGUCGUAACAAGGUAGCCGUAUCGGAAGGUGCGGCUGGAUCACCUCCUU